CACGCCCUAAACGAUGCGAACUGGAUGUUGGGUACAUUACGGUACUCAGUGUCGAAGCUAACGCGUUAAGUUCGCCGCCUGGGGANCAACGCGAAGAACCUUACCUGGCCUUGACAUCUGUCGAAUCCUGCAGAGAUGCGGGAGUGCCGCAAGGAACGACAAGACAGGUGC
RNAcentral lists this ribosomal RNA (171 nucleotides) under uncultured bacterium. Its description in RNAcentral is "partial 16S ribosomal RNA". It matches the Rfam family "Bacterial small subunit ribosomal RNA", at positions 796 to 1041 of the family's 1533-position model. The record is from RNAcentral.